RNAcentral lists this ribosomal RNA (468 nucleotides) under uncultured bacterium. RNAcentral describes it as "partial 16S ribosomal RNA". It matches the Rfam family "Bacterial small subunit ribosomal RNA", at positions 28 to 507 of the family's 1533-position model. The record is from RNAcentral.
GACGAACGCUGGCGGCGUGCUUAACACAUGCAAGUCGAACGGAAAGGCCCUGCUUUUGUGGGGUGCUCGGGUGGCGAACGGGUGAGUAACACGUGAGUAACCUGCCCUUGACUUUGGGAUAACUUCAGGAAACUGGGGCUAAUACCGGAUAGGAGCUCCUGCUGCAUGGUGGGGGUUGGAAAGUUUCGGCGGUUGGGGAUGGACUCGCGGCUUAUCAGCUUGUUGGUGGGGUAGUGGCUUACCAAGGCUUUGACGGGUAGCCGGCCUGAGAGGGUGACCGGCCACAUUGGGACUGAGAUACGGCCCAGACUCCUACGGGAGGCAGCAGUGGGGAAUAUUGCACAAUGGGCGGAAGCCUGAUGCAGCAACGCCGCGUGCGGGAUGACGGCCUUCGGGUUGUAAACCGCUUUCACCUGUGACGAAGCGUGAGUGACGGUAAUGGGUAAAGAAGCACCGGCUAACUACGUG